Molecule: unclassified non-coding RNA, 544 nt
Filed under: Fusarium clavum
Lineage: Eukaryota; Fungi; Ascomycota; Sordariomycetes; Hypocreales; Nectriaceae
Description: sequence contains 18S rRNA gene, ITS1, 5.8S rRNA gene, ITS2, 28S rRNA gene
Rfam family: 5.8S ribosomal RNA (bases 191-344)
Source: RNAcentral
GUAACAAGGUCUCCGUUGGUGAACCAGCGGAGGGAUCAUUACCGAGUUUACAACUCCCAAACCCCUGUGAACAUACCUAUACGUUGCCUCGGCGGAUCAGCCCGCGCCCCGUAAAAAGGGACGGCCCGCCCGAGGACCCCUAAACUCUGUUUUUAGUGGAACUUCUGAGUAAAACAAACAAAUAAAUCAAAACUUUCAACAACGGAUCUCUUGGUUCUGGCAUCGAUGAAGAACGCAGCAAAAUGCGAUAAGUAAUGUGAAUUGCAGAAUUCAGUGAAUCAUCGAAUCUUUGAACGCACAUUGCGCCCGCCAGUAUUCUGGCGGGCAUGCCUGUUCGAGCGUCAUUUCAACCCUCAAGCUCAGCUUGGUGUUGGGACUCGCGGUAACCCGCGUUCCCCAAAUCGAUUGGCGGUCACGUCGAGCUUCCAUAGCGUAGUAAUCAUACACCUCGUUACUGGUAAUCGUCGCGGCCACGCCGUAAAACCCCAACUUCUGAAUGUUGACCUCGGAUCAGGUAGGAAUACCCGCUGAACUUAAGCAUAUC